UUUUUUUUUUUUCUUUUUUUUUCUUUUUUUCGUGUGCCAUUGUCUGUAAUCCUCUUA
This 57-nucleotide non-coding RNA is filed under the name Compsopogon caeruleus. The record is from RNAcentral. Lineage: Eukaryota; Rhodophyta; Compsopogonophyceae; Compsopogonales; Compsopogonaceae.